AACGAACGCUGGCGGCAUGCCUAACACAUGCAAGUCGAACGAGACCUCCGGGUCUAGUGGCGCACGGGUGCGUAACGCGUGGGAACCUGCCCUUAGGUUCGGAAUAACUCCCCGAAAGGGGUGCUAAUACCGGAUAAUGUCUUCGGACCAAAGAUUUAUCGCCUUUGGAUGGGCCCGCGUUGGAUUAGCUAGUUGGUAGGGUAAAAGCCUGCCAAGGCGACGAUCCAUAGCUGGUCUGGGAGGAUGAUCCGCCACACUGGGACUGAGACACGGCCCAGACUCCUACGGAAGGCAGCAGUGGGGAAUAUUGGACAAUGGGCGAAGGCCUGAUCCAGCAAUGCCGCGUAAGUGAUGAAGGCCUUAGGGUUGUAAAGCUCUUUUACCCGGGAUGAUAAUGACAGUACCGGGAGAAUAAGCUCCGGCUAACUCCGUG
This 433-nucleotide ribosomal RNA is filed under the name uncultured bacterium. RNAcentral describes it as "partial 16S ribosomal RNA". It matches the Rfam family "Bacterial small subunit ribosomal RNA", at positions 29 to 507 of the family's 1533-position model. The record is from RNAcentral.